UACGUAGGGCGCAAGCGUUGUCCGGAAUUAUUGGGCGUAAAGAGCUCGUAGGCGGCUUGUCACGUCGAUUGUGAAAGCCCGAGGCUUAACCUCGGGUCUGCAGUCGAUACUGGCUAGCUAGAGUGUGGUAGGGGAGAUCGGAAUUCCUGGUGUAGAGGUGAAAUGCGCAGAUAUCAGGAGGAACACCGGUGGCGAAGGCGGUUCUCUGGGCAUUAACUGACGCUGAGGAGCGAAAGUGUGGGGAGCGAACAGG
Molecule: ribosomal RNA, 253 nt
Filed under: uncultured bacterium
Lineage: Bacteria
Description: partial 16S ribosomal RNA
Rfam family: Bacterial small subunit ribosomal RNA
Source: RNAcentral